RNAcentral lists this long non-coding RNA (537 nucleotides) under Nicotiana tabacum (common tobacco). RNAcentral describes it as "long non-coding RNA (NTAB_LNC006267)". The record is from RNAcentral. Lineage: Eukaryota; Viridiplantae; Streptophyta; Magnoliopsida; Solanales; Solanaceae.
AUACAGGUGCUUCGUCGGUGGGCUAGCAUGGGCUACCACCGACCAAACACUUGGGGAUGCUUUUUCUCAGUACGGUGAAAUUGUCGACUCGAAGGUCUGUUGGAAAACAGAGCAGAGAUCGGAUUCGAGCCGAUUUGAAUCGGCUUCGUUGACCCUCUGUUACUGGAAAAAUUGAUCUGUUACUACUCUCUCUGUUACUGUUACUGUUACUGUUACUACUCUCUGGUUUAUCUGUUACUGUUACUAUUUGUUACUGUUAUUCCACUUUCCCCGAAACGGUACGUUCCGUCUUCCUCUGUUUAUACAAGAGAUGAAGAUAGAUCGCUUUUAAUGUUUCUCCCCUAUUUUUUUUGAUUUUUGAUUUUAUGGUUUUACCUUUUUUGGAUUUUAUGUUGUAGAUCUGGUUAGAUCUGAUGUUUUUUUUUUUUUUAUGAUUUGGACUUUUUCAGAUUAUCAAUGACAGAGAAACUGGUAGAUCUAGAGGAUUUGGAUUUGUUACCUUCAAGGAUGAGCAAGCUAUGAGGGACGCUAUUGAAG